RNAcentral lists this ribosomal RNA (520 nucleotides) under uncultured bacterium. RNAcentral's name for it is "bacterial SSU rRNA". It matches the Rfam family "Bacterial small subunit ribosomal RNA", at positions 387 to 896 of the family's 1533-position model. The record is from RNAcentral.
CGCAGCGACGCCGCGUGCGGGAGGAAGGUCUUCGGAUCGUAAACCGCUGUCGGGAGGGAAGAAGGCGACCGGGGGGGAAAUACCCUGGUUCUGACGGUACCUCCAAAGGAAGCACCGGCUAACUCCGUGCCAGCAGCCGCGGUAAUACGGAGGGUGCAAGCGUUGUUCGGAAUUAUUGGGCGUAAAGCGCGCGCAGGCGGCCGAAGAAGUCCAUGGGUGAAAGGCCGGGGCUCAACCCCGUGCAUGCCCAGGAUACUGAUCGGCUGGAGACACGUAGAGGCAAGCGGAAUUCCGGGUGUAGCGGUGGAAUGCGUAGAGAUCCAGAAGAACACCGGAGGCGAAGGCGGCUUGCUGGGCGUGAUCUGACGCUGAGGCGCGAAAGCGUGGGGAGCGAACAGGAUUAGAUACCCUGGUAGUCCACGCUGUAAACGAUGGGCACUGGAUGCGGGGGGGAUCGGCCCUCUCCGUGUCGCAGCUUACGCGUUAAGUGCCCCGCCUGGGGAGUACGGCCGCAAGGCUG